RNAcentral lists this non-coding RNA (216 nucleotides) under Bhargavaea cecembensis. RNAcentral describes it as "T-box sequence". It matches the Rfam family "T-box leader". Rfam says of the family: Uncharged tRNA acts as the effector for transcription antitermination of genes in the T-box leader family. T-boxes are found upstream of many aminoacyl-tRNA synthetase genes and some amino acid biosynthetic genes usually in Gram-positive bacteria. The record is from RNAcentral. Lineage: Bacteria; Bacillati; Bacillota; Bacilli; Caryophanales; Caryophanaceae.
UAAAUGGCGAAGACGGAGACAGUAGGGGCAGCGGAAGACAAAGCGAGCCGGGGAUGGUGAGAGCCCGGUGCGGAAGCCGCCAGCGAAAAUCACUCCGGAGCCGGACCGCGGAAACCCAGUACGCGGUCCCGUCACACCCCGUUACGGUGUCCGAGAGGCGGUGCGCGUGCGCGCCGCAAUGAGGGUGGUAUCGCGGGCAGAGGCUCCGUCCCUUUU